Molecule: ribosomal RNA, 939 nt
Filed under: Salmonella enterica subsp. enterica
Lineage: Bacteria; Pseudomonadati; Pseudomonadota; Gammaproteobacteria; Enterobacterales; Enterobacteriaceae
Also listed under: 1 other name
Description: partial 23S ribosomal RNA
Rfam family: Bacterial large subunit ribosomal RNA
Source: RNAcentral
CCGAGGAAAAGAAAUCAACCGAGAUUCCCCCAGUAGCGGCGAGCGAACGGGGAGGAGCCCAGAGCCUGAAUCAGCAUGUGUGUUAGUGGAAGCGUCUGGAAAGGCGCGCGAUACAGGGUGACAGCCCCGUACACAAAAGCGCAUGUGCUGUGAGCUCGAUGAGUAGGGCGGGACACGUGGUAUCCUGUCUGAAUAUGGGGGGACCAUCCUCCAAGGCUAAAUACUCCUGACUGACCGAUAGUGAACCAGUACCGUGAGGGAAAGGCGAAAAGAACCCCGGCGAGGGGAGUGAAAAAGAACCUGAAACCGUGUACGUACAAGCAGUGGGAGCACCCUUUGGGGUGUGACUGCGUACCUUUUGUAUAAUGGGUCAGCGACUUAUAUUCUGUAGCAAGGUUAACCGUAUAGGGGAGCCGUAGGGAAACCGAGUCUUAACCGGGCGUUAAGUUGCAGGGUAUAGACCCGAAACCCGGUGAUCUAGCCAUGGGCAGGUUGAAGGUUGGGUAACACUAACUGGAGGACCGAACCGACUAAUGUUGAAAAAUUAGCGGAUGACCUGUGGCUGGGGGUGAAAGGCCAAUCAAACCGGGAGAUAGCUGGUUCUCCCCGAAAGCUAUUUAGGUAGCGCCUCGUGAAUUCAUCUCCGGGGGUAGAGCACUGUUUCGGCUAGGGGGCCAUCCCGGCUUACCAACCCGAUGCAAACUGCGAAUACCGGAGAAUGUUAUCACGGGAGACACACGGCGGGUGCUAACGUCCGUCGUGAAGAGGGAAACAACCCAGACCGCCAGCUAAGGUCCCAAAGUCAUGGUUAAGUGGGAAACGAUGUGGGAAGGCCCAGACAGCCAGGAUGUUGGCUUAGAAGCAGCCAUCAUUUAAAGAAAGCGUAAUAGCUCACUGGUCGAGUCGGCCUGCGCGGAAGAUGUAACGGGGCUAAACCAU